Molecule: ribosomal RNA, 490 nt
Filed under: uncultured bacterium
Lineage: Bacteria
Description: partial 16S ribosomal RNA
Rfam family: Bacterial small subunit ribosomal RNA
Source: RNAcentral
AUUGAACGCUGGCGGCAGGCCUAACACAUGCAAGUCGAACGGUAACAGGAAGAAGCUUGCUUCUUUGCUGACGGGUGGCGUACGGGUGUUUAAUGUCUGGUAAACUGCCUGAUGGAGGUGGAUAACUACUGGAAACUGUCGCUAAUACCGCAUAAUGUCGCAAGACCAACUAGUGGUACCUUCGGGCCUCUUGCCAUCUGAUCUGCCCAGAUGGGCUUCGCUAGUAGGUGGGGUAACGGCUCACCUCGGCGAAGGUACCUAGCUGGGUUGAGAGGAUGACCAGGCACACUGGAACUGAGACACGGUACAGACGCCUACGGGAGGCAGCAGGCGGGAAUAUUGCACAAUAGGCGCAAGGCUGAUGCAGCCAUGCCGCGUGUAUGAAGAAGGCCGUCGGGAUGUAAAGAACGUUCAGAGGGGAGGACGGGAGUAAAGUGAAUAACUUGGCUCAUUGAAGGUACCCGAAGAAGAAGACCAGGCUAACUAAGUG